AAGUGUGAUCAUACUAGCAUUAAUGCAUCAUAUCCCAGCAAACUCCGCAGUUAAGCGUGCUUGGACAAGAGUAGUAUUAGGAUGAGUGACCUCUUGGAAAGUCCUCGUGUUGCACCUC
RNAcentral lists this ribosomal RNA (118 nucleotides) under Phaseolus vulgaris (common bean). The record is from RNAcentral. Lineage: Eukaryota; Viridiplantae; Streptophyta; Magnoliopsida; Fabales; Fabaceae.